GGUGAAAAGAACCCCAGGAAGGGGAGUGAAAUAGAUUCUGAAAUUCAUUGCUUACAAUUGAGUUGGAGUCCUUCGGGAUGACAACGUACCUAUUGACGAAUGGGUCAGCGAGUCAUUGUUGCCAGCAAGGUUAAGUCAGGUAUAGACGGAGCCGUAGGGAAACCGAGUCUGAAUAGGGCGAUUUAGUUGGUAGUAAUGGACCCGAAACGUUAUGAGCUAGGCAUGGGCAGGUUGAAGGCGUGCGAAAGUGCGCUGGAGGACCGAACGGGUUAGAGCUGCAAAUCUUUCCGAUGACCUGUGUCUAGGAGUGAAAAGCUCAUCGAAUAACGUAAUAGCUGGUUCUCUCCGAAAUGCAUUAGGGUGCAGCUUCCAAUCGAGAUCUCAUAGAGGUAGAGCUCUGAUAAGACUAGGGGUGUCGAGAGACAUUACCAAAUCUUGUUAAACUUCGAAUGCUGUGAGGAAUAUUGGAAAGUGAGACUGCGGGCGCAAGGUUCGUGGUCAAAAGGAUAACAGUCCAGACAUGUAAUUAAGGUCCCUAAAUUAUAGCUAAGUGGUAAAGGAGGUAUUCUUGCUUUGACAUCCAGGAGGUUUGCUUAGAAGCAGCAAUCCUUUAAAGAUAGCGUAACAGCUCACUGGACAAGCGAGGACGCGCCGAAGAUGUAACGGGGCUAAGCUAUAUACCGAAAUUCAUGGCCUACAUAGCAAUAUGUAGUGCGGUAGGAGAGUGUUCUAUCGGGAUGAAGCAUAACUGUGAGGUUAUGUGGACUAGAUAGAAGUAAAAAUGCUGACAUGAGUAACGACGCAAGGCGAAAAUCCUUGCUGCCGAAAACCUAAGAAUUCCUGCGCAACGUUCAUCGUCGCGGGGUUAGUCGAGACCUAAGGUGAUACCAGAAGUGGUACAUCGAUGGAUAACUGGUUAAUAUUCCAGUACUUGUAUAUUCAGUGAUGUGGUAACGCAUCGGGAUUUGUAAGAGCUCAUUAAGGAUUUGAGUCGAAAAAGUAAGGUUUUGAUUGUAGGAAAAUCCGCAGUCAUUACACUGAGCUUGAUCGGAAUUGCUUCCUUCGGGUUGCGAAAUUCUUAUCGUUCUGGUGCCGAGAAAAACCUCUAAACUUAUGUUUAUACAACUCGUAUUCAGAUCAGACACUUGUAGGUUGGUAGAGAAUACCAAGGCAAUCGAGAUAACUAGUGGAUAAGGAACUUGGCAAAAUAGCGGACGUACUUUCGAAAUAAGUCCUACCCUGCAGCAAUGUAGGGUUGCAACAAAUGACAUGGGGGGAACUGUUUAUCACAAACACAGCUCGCUGCUAACACGUAAGUGGAUAUAUAGCGAGUGAUGCCUGUCCAAUGCCAGAAUGUUAUGCUCUCUUGUGCAAGCUCGAGGGUUAAGCACUGGUGAAUGACGGCCGUAACUAUGACGGUCCUAAGGUAGCGAUAUUCCUUGUCAGGUAAGUUCUGACGCGCAUGAAUGGCAUAAUCAUCCCCAUACUGUCUUGUCCUUAGACUCGGUGAAAUUACAAUCCUGGUAAAAAUGCCAGGUAGUUGCAGUUAGACGGAAAGACCCUGUGAAGCUUCACUAUAGAUUGAUAUUGGCAUGUAGUAUGUGCUGCUCAGUAUAAGUGGGAGGCGUUGAGGUUUCGACUUCGGUCGGGGCGGAGCCAACAAUGAGAUACCACUCAAUAUAUAUAGCAUUUCUAACCCCUAGGUUGGGGAACAGUGUCAGUUUGGUAGUUUACCUGGGGCUGGUGCCUCCUAAAAAGUAUCGGAGGCGUGAAAAGGUUUGCUUGUCACGGAUGGAAACCGUGGUGGACGUGCAUUCGCAUAAGCAAGCUUGACUGUGAGACUGACAGGUCGAACAGAUACGAAAGUAGGCGAAAGUGAUCCGGAUCUUCCAUAUGGAAGGGGAUCCGCUCAACGGAUAAAAGUUACUCCGGGGAUAACAGGCUAAUGGUAUCUAAGCGUUCAUAGCGACGAUACCGUUUGGCACCUCGAUGUCGACUCGUCGCAUCCUGGGGCUGUAGAAG
This 2022-nucleotide ribosomal RNA is filed under the name Fibrobacter sp. Its description in RNAcentral is "partial 23S ribosomal RNA". It matches the Rfam family "Bacterial large subunit ribosomal RNA", at positions 513 to 2561 of the family's 2925-position model. Lineage: Bacteria; Pseudomonadati; Fibrobacterota; Fibrobacteria; Fibrobacterales; Fibrobacteraceae. The record is from RNAcentral.